ACUGUCAAGAAAAGCUUCUAUCGAGUUUAAAGGCGCCCGUACCGUAAACCGACACAGGUGGGUGAGGAGAGUAUCCUAAGGCCAGCGAGAGAACUAUUGUUAAGGAACUCGGCAAAAUGACCCCGUAACUUAGGGAGAAGGGGUGCCUGUCUAUGACAGGCCGCAGAGAAUAGGCCCAAGCGACUGUUUACCAAAAACACAGGUUUCUGCUAAGUCGCAAGACGAUGUAUAGGAGCUGACGCCUGCCCGGUGCUGGAAGGUUAAGGGGAUCUGUUAGAGCAAUCGAAGCAGUGAACUUAAGCCCCAGUAAACGGCGGCCGUAACCAUAACGGUCCUAAGGUAGCGAAAUUCCUUGUCGGGUAAGUUCCGACCCGCACGAAAGGCGUAACGAUUUGGGCACUGUCUCAACAAUAGACUCGGUGAAAUUGUAAUCCCGGUGAAGAUGCCGGGUACCUGCGACAGGACGGAAAGACCCCAUGGAGCUUUACUGUAGCUUGACGUUGGGUCUUGGUACUACAUGUACAGGAUAGGUGGGAGACUAUGAAGCAUGGACGCCAGUCUGUGUGGAGUCAUCCUUGGGAUACCACCCUUGUAGUACUGGGAUCCUAACCAUAGGCCUUGAAUCAGGUCUUGGAACACCGUCAGGUGGGCAGUUUGACUGGGGCGGUCGCCUCCUAAAAAGUAACGGAGGCGCUCAAAGGUUUCCUCAGCACGGUCGGAAAUCGUGCGAAGAGUGUAAAGGCAAAAGGAAGCUUGAUUGCAAGACAUACAGGUCGAGCAAGAACGAAAGUCGGACUUAGUGAUCCGGUGGUACCGCAUGGAAGGGCCAUCGCUCAACGGAUAAAAGCUACCCUGGGGAUAACAGGCUUAUCUCCCCCAAGGGUCCACAUCGACGGGGAGGUUUGGCACCUCGAUGUCGGCUCAUCACAUCCUGGGGCUGUAGUAGGUCCCAAGGGUUGGGCUGUUCGCCCAUUAAAGUGGUACGCGAGCUGGGUUCAGAACGUCGUGAGACAGUUCGGUCCCUAUCCGUCGCAGGCGUAGGAAAUUUGAGAAGACCUGUCCUUAGUACGAGAGGACCGGGAUGGACGUACCUCUGGUGUACCAGUUGUUCUGCCAAGGGCAUGGCUGGGUAGCUAUGUACGGAAUGGACAGGCGCUGAAAGCAUCUAAGCGCUAAGCCAACUUCAAGAUAAGAUUUCCCACCGUAA
Molecule: ribosomal RNA, 1207 nt
Filed under: metagenome
Description: bacterial LSU rRNA
Rfam family: Bacterial large subunit ribosomal RNA
Source: RNAcentral